RNAcentral lists this ribosomal RNA (425 nucleotides) under uncultured bacterium. RNAcentral describes it as "bacterial SSU rRNA". It matches the Rfam family "Bacterial small subunit ribosomal RNA", at positions 29 to 502 of the family's 1533-position model. The record is from RNAcentral.
AACGAACGCUGGCGGCAGGCCUAACACAUGCAAGUCGAGCGCACCUUCGGGUGAGCGGCGGACGGGUUAGUAACGCGUGGGAACAUACCCUUUUCUACGGAAUAGCCUCGGGAAACUGAGAGUAAUACCGUAUAAGCCCUUCGGGGGAAAGAUUUAUCGGGAAAGGAUUGGCCCGCGUUAGAUUAGAUAGUUGGUGGGGUAAUGGCCUACCAAGUCUACGAUCUAUAGCUGGUUUUAGAGGAUGAUCAGCAACACUGGGACUGAGACACGGCCCAGACUCCUACGGGAGGCAGCAGUGGGGAAUCUUAGACAAUGGGCGCAAGCCUGAUCUAGCCAUGCCGCGUGUGUGAUGAAGGUCUUAGGAUCGUAAAGCACUUUCGCCAGGGAUAUAAUGACAGUACCGUGGUAAAGAAACCCCGCUAACU